Molecule: long non-coding RNA, 617 nt
Organism: Lycium barbarum (goji berry)
Lineage: Eukaryota; Viridiplantae; Streptophyta; Magnoliopsida; Solanales; Solanaceae
Exons: 3
Source: RefSeq, a predicted model, not a curated record
UUGCCUUCUUAAGGGUUUCAGACGAAACCAUAGCGCCGCCACCCUAUCCCUUCUCCCCUCACACGUCACGAUUGCCGGAAAUGGCAACAUUUCAGGCGUGUCAGUUGCGUUAUGGCCAAAACGAGUAGCAUUAAAUGAAAACUCGUCUCUCUCCACCUAUUCUCACCAAACGCUUCCUUAAAAGUUCGAGAUUGGAAGCACAAAGGCUCUAAAUCCAUUCUUGUCUAGGUUGUGCAACAAAAAGGCUGGGUUAAGCCUCUAUGUUCGGCUACCACCCAACAGGCUUUUCUUUCAGCAAGACAGUCCGAUGAGGGGGUGAAAGGGAAGCAAAUAUGCAUGUGAACACGUUGAAGGCCCAACCAUAGGUGAAAGGGAAGCAAAUAUGCAUGUGAACACGUUGAAGGCCCAACCAUAGGUGAAAAUGGUUAACUAGGGGUUUGGUACCCCCCCCCCCCCAGCCUAUGCCUCUCUUUUAUGUAUAAUUAUUUCAUUCUUAUUUUGUAUUUGUAUAGCAUGUAAGAACAUCAUAUUAUAUUGGAAUCCUUUUGAUUAUGAACUAGCCGUCUUAAGGAACGGUGCAUAUACUGUUUAGUGGAUUUUAAGUCCCCAAAUGAUUU